UCCGGGAUCCCUGUCGCCGCCUCGCCCUCCCCCAGCUGCACCCCCGAUCCCCGUGCCUCGCUGCUCCCUCCUCCCCCAGACGCGCCCCCAAUCCCGCCGGCGAACCUCGCACCAGACGCGCCGCCAAUCCCAGCGCCGCACCACCCUCCUCAUGUAGCUGCCACUCGAGGUGUUGAAGACCGGGCGGUGAUUCGGCUUGGGGGCGAUUCGGGAGGAAGAAGGGCGGUGAGGACUUGCUAGUGGCAGAUCUGGGCCAAAUACAUCGGCAAGUGUUGGUGCGGCUGUGACAGAUUUAGGCCUCCAGGAUUGAUGAGUAAACAUCCCUUGGUAAAUGGCUUCUCUCACUCUCGGUGGCGGAGACUACCCUCAUCAGCUACUAUGUAUAAAUCUCAUCUCGUCCAUCAACUAGUGUUCUUUAAACUGAUUGAUCUAUUUCCUGAUUGAGCGAUCUAGUUUGAGUUCAAUUUGCUCCCUUGCAGCCCUGCUCGUGCGUGAGGAUGCAGAUGUAUAUAGUAAUCAGGUCUGCAACUUCCGCAUCGCGAUUUAAACCAAGGGAAAGAAAAUCUGCACACCCAAUAUUCUUACAGAUGAAUGAAUGCUAAAGGAUCACGGAAGGCAGGAAGGUGGCAGGGUUCUCGGACAUCCAUGGGGACAUCACUAAUGGCCACUGGCAGACCAUGAGGUGGUAGAUACCAGCAGCCGGCAUCUGGGAGCAUCUCAUCCGGACUCGCGCCCAAUCCGCAAGCAUCAGAAAUGUCGUUCCUGACUCGGUGAGUUGGUCUCACUGCAUGGUGGUGGCAUCAAUCCUGUUGCGAUGCUCAUCUUUUACCAACAAGCUAGUAGCAAUGAGCAAAUGUGCAACGAUGUGUACAGUAGAGAGGAGAAAGUGUGGCAGCCUCUCUUUUCAGUAAAGGGUGGAUCGGAGUGUCGAUUCCAUGGUUGCCAAAUGCUAUGAGCUAGCCUAUGGAACACCAGGUGCUCAUGGAGCUGGCUCCUUGGAAGCUCAGCCUCAGGCAAGUUAGGUGAGCUAGCUCCCAUCUCUUGGUAAUUGGUCACUUUAUUAUUUGUUGAUCGAUUUACACUUUCAGUGGUUUUAUAUUAAACAAGUCUUUUGUCAGUAGGAAAAAUGUAUAGUAACAGGAUUUAUUAUCCUUAUGUGUUGGCUAGUGAAGGAGGGUUUCUUUAGCUAGGACUGUCACUCUAUUCUAGUAAAAAUGUCUUCCAGAGUUCAUUAUUAUGUGCAAUAUGGAGAAAGAAUGUGCAGAAAUGAUGCACUCCUUAGCACUGAUCAUAGCGAUAUGGAGAAAGAAUGUUCAGUCCUUUGCUGCUGUGUAGUAAAUUUCAUUUUUUUUGUUUUAUCCGAGCAAAAUAUUUGACCAACAGUCUCUCUCCUUCCUACCUACGACAAAUCCACCCAUUCAUCUUCAGGAUCAGGAUGCUUUUUAGAACAUCUUUCUCUUUAGUCCCUUUUUAUGUCAGUUUACUAUUUUAUUUCUCCCAAUUUAUUCUGCUUUAAUGGGAUUAAAUUUCAGAUGGCAUAAUGAUGAAAAUAUCCCUUCAUGUUUGUUGUCAAGGUCCUCUCAAUUUAUCAUUCUGCUAAUAUAAAUCAAUAAUUCCAUGUCCAGAUCUAUGCUACAUCAUACUGGUCAAGGUGACAUCAUAUUUUUCAUGUACUCAUUAUGUUCAUUUGUUAACCAAUAUAAUGGAAGUUGGUAUCUGAAAUUUAUAACAAAGAGAUAUGUGCUUGGUAGCAUGUGAUUAAAAUUUACCCCAGAUACGAACAUUUCACUGUUCUCAUUAUAGGAUGCCAUCAUGUACAACUAUCUGGGGAUCGCCUCUCCCACCAUACUGAUUUUUUCAUGAUAUGAUGGCCUGAAAGUGGGAAGAAUAUUUGAUUCAUAAUUCAUCUGAUAGAAUGUUUCAUUUUUCUAUUGUUGUUCUCAACUAAUAAACUAGUACUAAUGAUAGCUAUAUGUUCUUGCAGAAUGAUGUGGAAGCUUGACUAGUUUUUUUUUCCGGCAAGACAUGAUAGAAUUUGCAAUCAAAGGCUGCAAAUAAUUGAUUUUGCAUAUAGAUGUAUUUCUGAAAAGGGUGCAACUCUAUGCUAGAUUGCUCAUAAUCGAAGUUUUUGUCGGUCACUAGAUAUACAAGAGCUUUGGGAUGCGCUCGGAGGUGGCCUAUGGAGCUGGCGUUAGAAUUUUAUUUUAGUUUCAGAGUGUAAACAUUUGAAGUUUUGGUGUGAAAUUUCUCAAUAAUGGGAGCAUUUGGUAGUUUGGAGCGAAAUUCAUAGUAUUUAGGUUCAUGGUUAGAAAUAUUUGCAAACCUAAUUAUUGAAUGCUUUAUGUAGAGAAAUUUGCAAAUUCUGCAGUUUUGUCAUGCAGUAUUGGCAAACAAAAAACAAUGCAUGUUCUAUGGACCAAAAUUUGCACAUUUUA
Molecule: long non-coding RNA, 2435 nt
Organism: Panicum virgatum (switchgrass)
Lineage: Eukaryota; Viridiplantae; Streptophyta; Magnoliopsida; Poales; Poaceae
Exons: 5
Source: RefSeq, a predicted model, not a curated record